This 1951-nucleotide ribosomal RNA is filed under the name human gut metagenome. RNAcentral describes it as "bacterial LSU rRNA". It matches the Rfam family "Bacterial large subunit ribosomal RNA", at positions 1 to 1977 of the family's 2925-position model. The record is from RNAcentral.
GAAAGUAAGCAAGGGCAGACGGUGGAUGCCUUGGCUCUCGGAGGCGAUGAAGGACGUGAUAAGCUGCGAUAAGCUUGGGGUAGGUGCAAAUAACCUUUGAUCCGAAGAUUUCCGAAUGGGGCAACCCGGCUGGUAGAAGGCCAGUCAUUCCGUAAGGAAGGCGAACGUGGGGAACUGAAACAUCUAAGUACCCAUAGGAGAAGAAAACAAAAGUGAUUCCGCAAGUAGUGGCGAGCGAACGCGGAACAGCCCAAACCGAUGAUGUUUAGGCAUUGUCGGGGUAGUAGGACCACGUUGUGGCAAGAGAUUAAGGAAGUAGAACGUUUUGGAACAAACGGCCGUAGACGGUGAAAGCCCGGUAUACGACUCUUUAACGAAGCCUAGUGGAAUCCUGAGUAGCGCGGAGCACGAGAAAUUCUGUGUGAAUCAGCGGGGCCCAUCCCGUAAGGCUAAAUACUCCCGAGAGACCGAUAGCGAACCAGUACUGUGAAGGAAAGGUGAAAAGCACCUCGAACAGAGGAGUGAAAUAGUCCCUGAAACCGUCUGCCUACAAGCGGUCGGAGCAACGUAAGUUGUGACGGCGUGCCUUUUGCAUAAUGAACCUACGAGUUACUUUCUCCGGCAAGGUUAAGGGCUUCAGGCCCGGAGCCGAAGCGAAAGCGAGUCUUAAUAGGGCGUGAUAGUCGGAGUGAGUAGACGCGAAACCAAGUGAUCUACCCUUGGUCAGGAUGAAGGUUGGGUAACACCAACUGGAGGUCCGAAUGGGUAUACGUUGAAAAGUGUUCCAAUGAACUGAGGGUAGGGGUGAAAGGCUAAUCAAACUUGGAGAUAGCUCGUACUCCCCGAAAUGCAUUUAGGUGCAGCCUUUAUUUAGUAUAGCAUGAGGUAGAGCGACUGAUUGGAUGCGAGGGCUUCACCGCCUAUCAAGUCCAGAUAAACUCCGAAUGCGUGCUAUAUAUUGAUAAGGAGUGAGGGCGCGGGUGCUAAGGUCCGCGUCCGAGAGGAGAAGAAUCCAGACCAUCAGCUAAGGUCCCCAAAUAACAGUUAAGUUGAACUAACGAAGUCGGACUGCAGAGACAGCUAGGAUGUUGGCUUGGAAGCAGCCAUUCAUUUAAAGAGUGCGUAACAGCUCACUAGUCGAGGAGUCCGGCGUGGAUAAUACUCGGGCAUAAACUGUUUACCGAAGCUAUGGAUGUGUAAACACAUGGUAGGGGAGCAUUCCAACGGCGUCGAAGGUGAAGGAUGACCUUUGCUGGAGCUUUUGGAAACGCAAAUGUAGGUAUAAGUAACGAUAAAGGAGGUGAGAAACCUCCUCGCCGAAAGACUAAGGUUUCCUGAUCAACGUUAAUCGGAUCAGGGUAAGUCGGGACCUAAGGUUAAGCCGAACGGCGAUACCGAUGGAAGAAUGGUUUAAUAUUCCCAUACUACUUUAUGGAGCGAUGUGGAGACGGAGAAGUGACAGUCCUGCCAUCUGACGGAAUAGGUGGUUGAAGAGUGUAGAUGUAGAUUCCUGUAGGCAAAUCCGCAGGGAGAGUCGACCUUGACAGUAUGCCGCGUGCUUGCACAAGGCAAAAUGGACGUAAUCAGGCUCCCAAGAAAAUCCGCUAAGCAUAUUCAUAAAGUACCCGUACCGUAAACGGACACACGUAGUUGGGUUGAAAAUACUGAGGCGCUCGAGUGAUUCACGGUUAAGGAACUAGGCAAAUUGACCCUGUAACUUCGGGAUAAAGGGUCCCUACUGAGAGGUAGGGCGCAGAGAAUAGGUCCAGGCAACUGUUUAACAAAAACACAUGGCUGUGCGAAAUAGAAAUAUGAAGUAUACAGCCUGACACCUGCCCGGUGCUGGAAGGUUAAGAGGAGAGCUCAUCGCAAGAGAAGGCUUGAAUUGAAGCCCCAGUAAACGGCGGCCGUAACUAUAACGGUCCUAAGGUAGCGAAAUUCCUUGUCGGGU